RNAcentral lists this ribosomal RNA (495 nucleotides) under Neanura muscorum. Its description in RNAcentral is "partial 16S ribosomal RNA". It matches the Rfam family "Bacterial large subunit ribosomal RNA", at positions 1831 to 2600 of the family's 2925-position model. The record is from RNAcentral. Lineage: Eukaryota; Metazoa; Arthropoda; Collembola; Poduromorpha; Neanuridae.
UUCUUUAGCGUGGAAUUAAAAGUAAGAUCUGCCCACUGUAAAAUGAAGGGCCGCGGUAUCUUGACCGUGCUAAGGUAGCAUAAUCAUUAGUUUCUUAAUUAGGAAAUAGAAUGAAUGAUUAAACCGAAAAGUGCUUUAUUCAGUUUAAUUAAAUUGAAUUUAAGGUUAAAGUGAAAAUGUUUAAAUGUUCCUAUUAGACGAUAAGACCCUAUAGAACUUAAUUCUUUUUUGAUUUAUUGAAGUAGGGGUUUAAAUAAAAAAAGGAAAGAGUUUUGUUGGGGUAACAGGAGAAUAGAGAAAAUUUCUUUAUAGAAAAUUUUAGAGUUUAAUAAUUAGCCAGAGUUUAGAAAUUAAAAAGUUACCUUAGGGAUAACAGCGUAAUUAAUUCGGAGAGUUCAGAUUAAUGAAUUAGAUUACGACCUCGAUGUUGAAUUAAAAAUCCUAAUAGGGGCAGUACUUUAAAGAGGUGGUUUGUUCAACCAUUAAAUUUUUACA